GACGAACGCUGGCGGCGUGCUUAACACAUGCAAGUCGAACGGAAAGGCUCCAGCUUGCUGGCGUACUCGAGUGGCGAACGGGUGAGUAACACGUGGGUAAUCUGCCCUGCACUCUGGGAUAAGCCUGGGAAACUGGGUCUAAUACUGGAUAUGACCUUUCUCCUUAUGGGGUUUGGUGGAAAGUUUUUCGGUGUAGGAUGAGCCCGCGGCCUAUCAGCUUGUUGGUGGGGUGAUGGCCUACCAAGGCGACGACGGGUAGCCGGCCUGAGAGGGUGAUCGGCCACAUUGGGACUGAGAUACGGCCCAGACUCCUACGGGAGGCAGCAGUGGGGAAUAUUGCACAAUGGGCGGAAGCCUGAUGCAGCGACGCCGCGUGAGGAAUGACGGCCUUCGGGUUGUAAACCUCUUUCAGCAGGGACGAAGCGUAAGUGACGGUACCUGCAGAAGAAGCACCGGCUAACUAUGUG
Molecule: ribosomal RNA, 467 nt
Filed under: uncultured bacterium
Lineage: Bacteria
Description: partial 16S ribosomal RNA
Rfam family: Bacterial small subunit ribosomal RNA
Source: RNAcentral